GACGAACGCUGGCGGCGUGCUUAACACAUGCAAGUCGAACGGAGCGAAUGAAAGCUUGCUUUUAUAAGCUUAGUGGCAAACGGGUGAGUAACACGUAGGCAACCUGCCGACAGGAUGGGGACAACAUUCCGAAAGGAAUGCUAAUACCGAAUGAAGUCAGAGAAGGGCAUCCUUUUCUGAUGAAAGAUGGCCUCUGAAUAUGCUAUCACCUGUCGAUGGGCCUGCGUCUGAUUAGCUGGUAGGUGAGGUAACGGCUCACCUAGGCGACGAUCAGUAGCCGGUCUGAGAGGAUGAACGGCCACAUUGGGACUGAGACACGGCCCAGACUCCUACGGGAGGCAGCAGUGGGGAAUCUUCCGCAAUGGGCGCAAGCCUGACGGAGCAACGCCGCGUGAGUGAAGAAGGUCUUCAGGACUCGUAAAGCUCUUUU
Molecule: ribosomal RNA, 430 nt
Filed under: Selenomonas sp. oral taxon 479
Lineage: Bacteria; Bacillati; Bacillota; Negativicutes; Selenomonadales; Selenomonadaceae
Description: bacterial SSU rRNA
Rfam family: Bacterial small subunit ribosomal RNA
Source: RNAcentral